This 403-nucleotide ribosomal RNA is filed under the name uncultured bacterium. Its description in RNAcentral is "bacterial SSU rRNA". It matches the Rfam family "Bacterial small subunit ribosomal RNA", at positions 355 to 775 of the family's 1533-position model. The record is from RNAcentral.
UAGGGAAUAUUGGUAAUGGGCGAAAGCCUGAACCAGCAACGCCGCGUGAGCGAUGAAGGCCUUCGGGUUGUAAAGCUCUUUUGAAGAGGAUGAGGAAGGACAGUACUCUUCGAAUAAGCCUCGGCUAACUACGUGCCAGCAGCCGCGGUAACACGUAGGAGGCGAGCGUUAUCCGGAUUUACUGGGCGUAAAGCGCGUGUAGGCGGCUCGGAAAGUUGGAUGUGAAAGCUCCUGGCUUAACUGGGAGAGGUCGUUCAAAACUACCGAGCUAGAGUACGAGAGAGGGAGGUGGAAUUCCGGGUGUAGUGGUGAAAUGCGUAGAUAUCCGGAGGAACACCAGUGGCGAAAGCGGCCUCCUGGCUCGAAACUGACGCUCAGACGCGAAAGCUAGGGUAGUAAACGG